CCUACGGGUGGCUGCAGUGAGGAAUAUUGGUCAAUGGGCGCAAGCCUGAACCAGCCAUCCCGCGUGCAGGAAGACGGCCCUAUGGGUUGUAAACUGCUUUUCCAGGGGGAGAAACUUGCGCACGUGUUGCGCAAUUGACGGUACCCUGGGAAUAAGCAUCGGCUAACUCCGUGCCAGCAUCCGCGGUAAUACGGAGGAUGCGGGCUCAUUCCGGAUUCAUUGGGCGUAGAGGGACUAUUAGCGGACUAUUGAAAUCCUGCAGCUUAACUGCAGAACUGCCAUUGAUACUGAUAGCCUUGAGUUUGGUUAAGGUAGGCGGAAUGUGUAAUGUAGCGGUGAAAUGCUUAGAUAUUACACAGAACACCAAUUGCGUAGGCAGCUUACUGAGCCGACACUGACGCUGAGGCACGAAAGCGUGGGGAUCGAACAGGAUUAGAUACCCUGGUAGUC
This 450-nucleotide ribosomal RNA is filed under the name uncultured bacterium. Its description in RNAcentral is "partial 16S ribosomal RNA". It matches the Rfam family "Bacterial small subunit ribosomal RNA", at positions 338 to 795 of the family's 1533-position model. The record is from RNAcentral.